This 63-nucleotide transfer RNA is filed under the name Clostridioides difficile. RNAcentral's name for it is "tRNA-Arg". It matches the Rfam family "tRNA", at positions 6 to 65 of the family's 71-position model. Rfam says of the family: Transfer RNA (tRNA) molecules are approximately 80 nucleotides in length. Lineage: Bacteria; Bacillati; Bacillota; Clostridia; Peptostreptococcales; Peptostreptococcaceae. The record is from RNAcentral.
CAUAGCUCAGCUGGAUAGAGCAACGCCCUUCUAAGGCGUGUGUCCGGGGUUCGAAUCCCUGUG